RNAcentral lists this non-coding RNA (930 nucleotides) under Babina subaspera (Otton frog). RNAcentral's name for it is "12S ribosormal RNA". It matches the Rfam family "Bacterial small subunit ribosomal RNA". Lineage: Eukaryota; Metazoa; Chordata; Amphibia; Anura; Ranidae. The record is from RNAcentral.
CAAAGGUUUGGUCCUAGCCUUAUUAUCAACUGUUUCCUAAUUUACACAUGCAAGUCUCAGCAUACCAGUGAGAACGCCCUUUCAUCCUAUGCCAGGCUAAGGAGCUGGCAUCAGGCACGGACCCCUUGCCCACAACGCCUAGUCUCACCACACCCCCAAGGGUACUCAGCAGUGAUAAAUCUUGUGCAUAAGCGUCAGCUUGACUCAGUUAAGGAAUAGAGAGCCGGCCAACCCGGUGCCAGCCGCCGCGGCUACCCCGUGGGGCUCAAGUUGAUAGUCGUCGGCGUUAAGCGUGAUUAAAGUCCCUACAAAUUAAGGUCAAAUUAAUACUCGGUAGUUUAAAGCUUGAUAUUAAGAAGAACACAAACGAAAGUUACCCUAAUUAUACUUGAAUCCACGACAGCUGGGUCACAAACUGGGAUUAGAUACCCCACUAUGCCCAACCGUAAACAAUAAAUUUACACCAACAACGCCAGGGAAUUACGAGCCAUGCUUAAAACCCAAAGGACUUGACGGUUUCCCACCCCACUAGAGGAGCCUGUUCUAUAAUCGAUGAUCCCCGCUACACCUAGCCAUUCCUCGCUUAUCAGUCUGUAUACCUCCGUCGAAAGCUUACCGUAUGAGCGUCUGCAGUAGGCUUAAUGAUUUUCAUCAACACGUCAGGUCAAGGUGCAGCUUAAGGAAAGGAAAGUAAUGGGCUACAAUUUCUAAAUUAGAACAAACGAAAGACUAAGUGAAAUCUUAAUCAUGAAGGCGGAUUUAGUAGUAAAAAGAAAAUAGAGUGUUCUUUUUAAUCCGGCUCUGGGACGCGUACACACCGCCCGUCACCCUCUUCAAUAGUUUAAUAACUGUUUCUAACCACUACCACACGUCUUAGAAGAGGCAAGUCGUAACAUGGUAAGUGUACUGGAAAGUGCACUUGGAAUAUAA